UACGUAGGGGGCAAGCGUUGUCCGGAUUUAUUGGGCGUAAAGAGCUCGUAGGCGGCUCGGUAAGUCGGAUGUGAAACCUCCAGGCUCAACCUGGAGACGCCAUCUGAUACUGCCGUGGCUUGAGUCCGGUAGAGGAGCAGGGAAUUCCUGGUGUAGCGGUGAAAUGCGCAGAUAUCAGGAGGAACACCGGUGGCGAAGGCGGAUCUCUGGGCCUGAUCUGACGCUGAGGCGCGAAAGCUAGGGGAGCAAACAGG
RNAcentral lists this ribosomal RNA (254 nucleotides) under uncultured bacterium. RNAcentral's name for it is "partial 16S ribosomal RNA". It matches the Rfam family "Bacterial small subunit ribosomal RNA", at positions 524 to 776 of the family's 1533-position model. The record is from RNAcentral.